CAGCCGCCGCGGUAAAACCGAGGGUGCAAGCGUUAAUCGGAAUUACUGGGCGUAAAGCGCACGCAGGCGGUUUGUUAAGUCAGAUGUGAAAUCCCCGAGCUUAACUUGGGAACUGCAUUUGAAACUGGCAAGCUAGAGUCUUGUAGAGGGGGGUAGAAUUCCAGGUGUAGCGGUGAAAUGCGUAGAGAUCUGGAGGAAUACCGGUGGCGAAGGCGGCCCCCUGGACAAAGACUGACGCUCAGGUGCGAAAGCGUGGGGAGCAAACAGGAUUAGAGACCCCAGUAGUCCCUGUCUCUUAUAC
RNAcentral lists this ribosomal RNA (301 nucleotides) under uncultured bacterium. RNAcentral describes it as "partial 16S ribosomal RNA". It matches the Rfam family "Bacterial small subunit ribosomal RNA", at positions 509 to 807 of the family's 1533-position model. The record is from RNAcentral.